RNAcentral lists this ribosomal RNA (391 nucleotides) under uncultured bacterium. RNAcentral's name for it is "bacterial SSU rRNA". It matches the Rfam family "Bacterial small subunit ribosomal RNA", at positions 28 to 413 of the family's 1533-position model. The record is from RNAcentral.
GAUGAACGCUAGCUACAGGCUUAACACAUGCAAGUCGAGGGGCAGCAUAUCGGUUGCUUGCAACCGACGAUGGCGACCGGCGCACGGGUGAGUAACGCGUAUCCAACCUACCCUUGUCCAUCGGAUAACCCGUCGAAAGGCGGCCUAACACGAUAUGCGGUUCUCAGCAGGCAUCUAACGAGAACGAAAUGUGAAGGAGAAGGAUGGGGAUGCGUCUGAUUAGCUUGUUGGCGGGGUAACGGCCCACCAAGGCGACGAUCAGUAGGGGUUCUGAGAGGAAGGUCCCCCACAUUGGAACUGAGACACGGUCCAAACUCCUACGGGAGGCAGCAGUGAGGAAUAUUGGUCAAUGGACGGGAGUCUGAACCAGCAAGUAGCGUGCAGGACGAAC